AGGGUCUCUCUCUCUCUCUCUCUCUGUCUGUCUUUUACAAACCAGAUCUGCAGGAUCCGCAGGUGUUGGAUUUACACCUCAUGUUAUAACAGUCAAAGCUGGAAAGGUAUGCGUUUUUUUUUUCUUUCAAAACUGCAUGGUAUUCUUGUAUCCUUUUAUGAUUACUGUCAAAAUGUGAUUGUGCGCAUGAAAAUGUGAGUUCUGUUCUGUAAUUUUUCAUUGGAAUGUGUUAUCUGGUUUGACAGCCUCCAACAACUGCUUUUAGGAUUUGAUGCGUUGCUAUAGUAAACCAUUAUUUUGUUUUGUUUCUAUGCCCUAUGCCUGAUUAUCGUACUCUGUGUUGAUGUGGUGUAUUUUAAUUAGAUUAUUUUUGGUACCAAAAUUGUUUAAACCUCCCAUUGUUCUUUUAGUUUAAUUUAUCCAUGUUCUGGUUUAGAUAUUAUGAUCAUAAAUGUGUUAAAAUUGAAGAGAUGUUGAGGCAAAUAUUCUAGCUUCAAAGGGUUCUUGGUAGUACUAUUUUGCUGGAAUUCAAUUUCUGAUUUUAGUCGAUUUACAAUUCUUUCUGAAUUUGGAAUUUGGGCUGAAGUUGGGAAAAAGCAGCCCGCUCAAUGCAGGUUCUGUUUUCCAUGCUGACCCAGACAUCAACUGUGAGCAUGUUUCGGAAGCCCCAAAAACCAUGAUUUGGUCAUAUAAUCUGACACAUCAUCAUUUAUGAUUAUGAAAAAGGCCUGCAAUUUCAAUGGCACUAGUUUCUUUGUGGGAUUCUUAUGAUUUGACUUUUAUCAUUUAUUUUUGUAGACUCGGUUCCAGCAUGAUAAGCAAGUUUACAUAUCGUUCUUAGAAAUUCUAAGUAUGCCCGGAAAGGAGUGCAUCUCCAUUAGUGAUGUCUACGAAAAGAUAAUUUAGUGGAUUUCACAGAUAAUCAAGGAUGGAGACUCUAGGGAUCAGCCUUUUUUUUAUAGCAAAGACUCUGGAGCUUAGUCCAGAGGAUGCUGAUCCAAUCUGGUGAAAGGGUGCCCAAGGCAUCCUGUCUUCAAGCAAGGGAUUGAAACAAAGGAUUCAGAGCAUAACUUCCGAUAUGUAUGAUUGAAUGAGAGAUCCAAGGCUUGGUCCAAUUUUUCUUUUCGGAGCAUGCAUAUCUUUUGGUAGCAUCUGGUUCAAAGGAACCAAUCAACACAACCAAUCGAAGAGGUAAGGUGCUAAAAGAUACA
Molecule: long non-coding RNA, 1211 nt
Organism: Magnolia sinica
Lineage: Eukaryota; Viridiplantae; Streptophyta; Magnoliopsida; Magnoliales; Magnoliaceae
Exons: 3
Source: RefSeq, a predicted model, not a curated record